Molecule: ribosomal RNA, 497 nt
Filed under: uncultured bacterium
Lineage: Bacteria
Description: partial 16S ribosomal RNA
Rfam family: Bacterial small subunit ribosomal RNA
Source: RNAcentral
GAUGAACGCUGGCGGCGUGCCUAAUACAUGCAAGUCGAGCGAACGGACGAGAAGCUUGCUUCUCUGAUGUUAGCGGCGGACGGGUGAGUAACACGUGGAUAACCUACCUAUAAGACUGGGAUAACUUCGGGAAACCGGAGCUAAUACCGUAUAAUAUUUUGAACCGCAUGGUUCAAAAGUGAAAGACGGUCUUGCUGUCACUUAUAGAUGGAUCCGCGCUGCAUUAGCUAGUUGGUAAGGUAACGGCUUACCAAGGCAACGAUGCAUAGCAGACCUGAGAGGGUGAUCGGCCACACUGGAACUGAGACACGGUCCAGACUCCUACGGGAGGCAGCAGUAGGGAAUCUUCCACAAAGGGCGAAAGCCUGACGGAGCAACGCCGCGUGAGUGAUGAAGGUCUUCGGAUCGUAAAACUCUGUUAUUAGGAAAGAACAUAUGUGUAAGUAACUGUGCACAUCUUGACGGUACCUAAUCAGAAAGCCACGGCUAACUACGUG